Molecule: ribosomal RNA, 575 nt
Filed under: uncultured bacterium
Lineage: Bacteria
Description: bacterial SSU rRNA
Rfam family: Bacterial small subunit ribosomal RNA
Source: RNAcentral
GCGAGCGGCGGACGGGUGAGUAACACUUGGGUAACCUGCCCAAGAGACUGGGAUAACACCCGGAAACAGAUGCUAAUACCGGAUAACAACACUAGACGCAUGUCUAGAGUUUGAAAGAUGGUUCUGCUAUCGCUCUUGGAUGGACCUGCGGUGCAUUAGCUAGUUGGUAAGGUAACGGCUUACCAAGGCAAUGAUGCAUAGCCGAGUUGAGAGACUGAUCGGCCACAUUGGGACUGAGACACGGCCCAAACUCCUACGGGAGGCAGCAGUAGGAAAUCUUCCACAAUGGACGAAAGUCUGAUGGAGCAACGCCGCGUGAGUGAAGAAGGGUUUCGGCUCGUAAAGCCCUGUUGGUAGUGAAGAAAGAUAGAGGUAGUAACUGGCCUUUAUUUGACGGUAAUUACUUAGAAAGUCACGGCUAACUACUUGCCAGCAGCCGCGGUAAUACGUAGGUGGCAAGCGUUGUCCGGAUUUAUUGGGCGUAAAGCGAGUGCAGGCGGUUCAAUAAGUCUGAUGUGAAAGCCUUCGGCUCAACCGGAGAAUUGCAUCAGAAACUGUUGAACUUGAGUGCAGAA